UAGAUCAUUGAUGAGUACUCUGAGAUGUCCAAACCAAGGAUUUUGACUAACCCCUAUAACUCUGAGGUUUUU
This 72-nucleotide small nucleolar RNA is filed under the name Bos indicus (zebu cattle). Its description in RNAcentral is "Small nucleolar RNA SNORD113/SNORD114 family". It matches the Rfam family "Small nucleolar RNA SNORD113/SNORD114 family". Rfam says of the family: The imprinted human domain at 14q32 contains two clusters of tandemly repeated small nucleolar RNAs named 14q(I) and 14q(II) snoRNAs. These two clusters are named SNORD113 and SNORD114 respectively in the HGNC approved gene symbol nomenclature. The snoRNAs found in both clusters are clearly related and are represented here by a single family. The record is from Rfam by way of RNAcentral. RNAcentral also lists the same sequence under 2 other names. Lineage: Eukaryota; Metazoa; Chordata; Mammalia; Artiodactyla; Bovidae.